Long non-coding RNA from Acanthopagrus latus (yellowfin seabream), 4162 nucleotides. RefSeq lists it as uncharacterized. The record is from RefSeq and is a predicted model, not a curated record. The transcript has 5 exons. Lineage: Eukaryota; Metazoa; Chordata; Actinopteri; Spariformes; Sparidae.
CAGCUCUGCCACUGUGUGACUGGGGAGGAAGUGCACAUUGAGGAGGAUCAGGGCAAUGGCUAAAUUGAUGUGGACCUUCAUGGAGACGUCUGUCCUGAUUGUUCUGUCAAACAGAGGAGAAAUGAUCUGUGUUCCUCUUUAUGAUGAAAAAGGCCAAGCCUACCAUGAGCACACCAAAGUAUGUGAGGUGGUCACAGGAGCAGGUGACGUGAUCCUGACUGUUAUCCCACAGGGUUUCACAACCAUAGCUGCUAUAUUCUGGGUCUGCACACUUCAAGGACCACCCUUUGCGGUCUCAUCAAAGGAGAGUCCUUCCAAGAGCCCUGCAGGCCGAGUCAGCCGUUGUGAAAUGGGACGGUCUAGCCUUUGGAGCAUUUCCUGGUUGCUUCACCAGAUGUUCCCACCCCUACCCUGACAUUGCAGCCAUCGAUCAAGUCAGAGCAAACCCAGCUGAUGGACGAUGUGGUGAACGGUGGAGACUGGACCCCCAGACACCCUGAGUACCGACCCAGAUGAUGUCCCGCUGACACCAGGGUCUUUAUUGUGGCAUCCCAUCCAGCCCAGCAGCUCUGCCAGGGACUCCUGCUCAGCCUCUUACUGUACAUCAUUUGUAACUGUUUUAAUAUUGUUUUUAAUAAUUGUUUUUGUUAAUAGCGAAUGAUAGGCUUGACAUCCAAAGGCAUCAAGCUGAGCAUUACCAAUGUAUUUUAACAGAAAUGUUGAGGUUUUAAUGUCCCUCGAAGUUUAACAUAUCUGGUGUUGGGUGUUCAAAUAAGUAAAAACCGAGUAUAAACCCAAUACUUACAUUUAAAUGUGAGAUCUGCGCCACUUGAGGUUAUUUCUUUCUUUCUGCUCUUUGGGCAUGCAAUGAAUCUUGGCAUAUGUGAGGCCACGAAGGGUAGUAGUCAAAAAACAGGUAAAAGCAGGGCGCAUUUGUGGGGUGCAUUUGGAAGACUCUUUGAAUUGGGGCACCCUUCGCGUGGCAUGGUGAUUGUGCAGACCCUGAAUUGGGACACAGCCUUCAUGUGAAUUGGAUGAUGUUUGUAUGACUUCCUGUGUCCAGUGGGUGGCACUAUAGACAUGACACAGUAUUGAUGCAUAGACAUAUUCAGGGCAACACCCUCUACAUGUUCGAGCAGUUUGGUGUUGAUUGGAAAUUGUAUGUUGAAGUUAUAAGCACUUCCACCUUCAUGGCGAAACAUCGAGAUGGACUGCGCCAUCAUCCCCACCAGGCCCGACCAGGUAUGACGUAUUCAAAAGUUUUCGACAUCUUUUCAUCCUCAAAGUCUGAGGAUGAAGCUGAAAGAAUGUGAAGUCUGUGAUGUUACAUCUGAAGGAGGAGUUCAUUAAAGUAUGAGGCAUGGAAAUGGGUCAAAAUUGUGGUGGAGGUGAGCCUUGGUUGAGGCGCGGUUGCAGGGAGAGGGAGAGGGGUCAGGAGAGCAGCGUCAGGUAAGUCAUUGGCAGAGCUGGCACAAAUCACUCUCUUCAUUUAUAUGCAGUAGUGUGCUGGACCUCAGAUGCAGGAAGCCUGGGAGAUGCUCAGGAGAGAGGCCAGGAUGCGAGACGCACAACGUACGGUAUUCCAGUUAGGAUUCAAGGGGGUGUACAUCAGGCAAUGGUGGAUUCGGGCUGUAUGCAGGCUAUAAUACACCUGAACAUGGAACGACCUGGGGCUUUGGUGGAGGCAUUUUCGGUGGAGAUAAGGUGUGUGCAUGGGAAUAUUCACAGCCAUCCUGUGGUUUUUUCCAUGGGGGAAAAACAUAGUGUUAAGGCUGCGAUCAGCUCCCGUCUGAUGCACCCUCUAAUUUUGGGCACGGUUUGGCCGGGGUUUUAUAAGUUAGUGGGGCAGUGUGUGGCGGUGCAUUCAUGACCGGUAGGGACACAGGAUAUGUGUGCGGUGUUCAGUGGUGACGCGAGGUUGUCCGACUCCGCAGACGGGGAGGAGGAACCGGCAGGGCCUUCACAGGAGGCUCCGCAGGUUCCCUUGUUACACUCCAUAGAAGAUUUUCUACUUGAACAGUCUCGUGAUGGUACUCUACACUUUGCCUUGGACCAAGUGAUAAAAAUCGAUGGUCAUUUGGUGCGCCCUGAUGCCACACAGACAUAUCCACAGUUUACAUUGAUUAUGGAUUGAUUGUAUAGAGAGAGUUGUCACACUCAGAUGGUAAAGGAAUUACCCAGUUACUGGUACCAAAAAGCCACCGAGAAGCUGCUUUCCAGGUGGCUUAUUAUAACCCAAUGGCUGGGUGCAUGGGGGGUGACAAAACACUAGACGGGAAAACGGCCCAAUGCUAUUGGCCUGGCAUUCGGGGAGAAGUACACCACUGGUGUGCAUCUUACUCGUACUUGAGGACAUGGGAAUGAAACUCAUCAAUCAACUUUCUUUCACCACAGUUGCCCUCCCUACCUUUGAUCAUUGCACUUAAUGCUAAAUUUACAAGGAGGCAUGAUUAAUUUCAAAUUUGCCACAGUUGUUAAGCAACAUUUUUUAAGUUUCUCCUAACCUGGUUAGAUUGCACUUCAGUGAACCACAUGACAGAAUCAGAUAGUUAGUUAUCCAUUAUGCCUCUGUUGUGACUUCUUCUUUUUGUUUUGCCGAGGAUGUCAUUUAAGUUUGUGAUCCAUCAAUGUGGCCAUGGCCACACGUCUGUACACAAUGCUAAAAGAAUGGGCUCACAUGCAUUUCAGACCACCUCCAAAUUUGGUCUUAGUGAUCAGAUCUAAAAUGUGUCUUGGUUGCAUUCAAAUCUGUACUGACAUUUGUAAACUUGUGAUCAGAUAACUCAAGAUAGAUUUGCAACAUUUCACAGUGUUCCUCUUUUUAAUUACCAAGCCCCAUUGGAACUUCAGCUGUUUGGUUCAUUUCCAAAUGAAUAUGAUAUGUAAUAUCAGUGUAAAUACAAAGUUAACCAGGCCCAAGUAAGUUUCGGCACCUACAUCCUGUGACAUAUAACACACAUUUGUUUUUCACACUCUGAUUUAAAUUUCCUGUAUCUGGGUGGGAGGCAUAUUUAUAACACUCUGAAUGGGAGGCUUGUUUGCAGUACAAGGUCAGAACAUCAAUUUUUGUAUCUUUGUAAACAAGCCAAUGAAUAAAAAUGUUUAGUAUCAUAGUCAAGGUCAUUCAGAAAUUUAAAGCAGUUAACUCCUGCAUGUUAUAGUUGUUUUUUUUAAAUUUACUUUCAAUACUUCUAUUAAACAUUUUUUUAUUCAGUAGCUUAUUUACAAAGAAAAAAAAAAAAUAUCGUCUGACCUUGUACUGCAAACAAGCCUCCCAUUCAAAAUGUUGUAGAUAUGUUGUAGAUCCGACUAGGAUUUAAUAGAAUAGUAUAAGGUUUAUAAUGUAUGUAAAAUUGAUAUAUACUUAUUUGAACUAUAGCUUUAGAUUAUUGUCUUUAAAAACAACAUAAGAAAUGUAGUCUCUGACCCCAUUUGUUUCAGGCCAGGUGAGCAUACAGAACACAAUCGUGUUGUCUGAUCCGACACCCAACUCUCUCGGCAGUUGAAUUCUCACUUUGCUGUUGUUGACAGCCAUGGCUGACAUUGCCUACAUCAAAGGCACAAAGCAAAAACAGGAAGAGGAUUAAAAAACAUGCAAAAAAUGCCACUCCUACAGCUACAUGAGUGUCAAUGCACACUGCAUAAUACAUUCAUGAUGCAUGCUCAGUCUUGUCAGUUGCAUCACACCCUGAUUUUUACACAAACGCAUCAUGUGGAGUGGAUUUCAAAUAGGCAGUGUGUUAUCGUUUUGGAACUAACACAAAGCACAGCUGAGGCUGAUGUGAAUCUGUAAAGCAGGCAUUUUAGGGACAAUCUUAUUUCUUUUCUCCUGAUGGUGCUGCUAGAGGCAAUGUUAGGAGAUCAGCAAAGUCAUUUGAUUGCACCCUUUGGGAAGCAUGAAUGACUGUAGCAAAAUUCAGUUACUGAGUUAAGUGACAUAUGCCGCUGACAGAGGAUCACCAAAGUCAUGAGGAUGCAUGGUCUGCUCACCAUGACUGUCUGUACAAAAGUUGAUGUAUUCAUGCCAACCCAUCCAGAAAUAAUCAAUAAAUGCGCAGUUUGGACCAAUGUGCAAAGCAUGCAUUGCAGACAAUACCAUAGCUUAAGUUAUUCUGCUAACACGGCAAUAAAAAAGAAGGAGAAAUAAAGGCUACCAGGAAGU